UACAGAGGUCCCAAGCGUUGUUCGGAUUCACUGGGCGUAAAGGGUGCGUAGGUGGUUAGGUAAGUCUGAUGUGAAAUCUCCGGGCUCAACCCGGAAAUGGCAUUGGAAACUAUUUGACUAGAGGAGUGGAGGGGGGACUGGAAUACUUGGUGUAGCAGUGAAAUGCGUAGAUAUCAAGUGGAACACCAGUGGCGAAGGCGAGUCCCUGGACACUUCCUGACACUGAGGCACGAAAGCUAGGGGAGCAAACAGG
Molecule: ribosomal RNA, 253 nt
Filed under: uncultured bacterium
Lineage: Bacteria
Description: partial 16S ribosomal RNA
Rfam family: Bacterial small subunit ribosomal RNA
Source: RNAcentral